This is an RNA transcript of Capsicum annuum, 5541 nucleotides long. It is a transcript of the gene named putative late blight resistance protein homolog R1B-16, with no coding region annotated. The transcript has 3 exons. The record is from RefSeq and is a predicted model, not a curated record. NCBI's taxonomy places the organism in Eukaryota, Viridiplantae, Streptophyta, Magnoliopsida, Solanales, Solanaceae.
CCUUAUUAGAGAAGUGUGGCUGUUAUUAACUAUAUUUAUUUACCUUUUGUUACUAUCUUUAUUUAACUCUUGUUAUUAGUUGUUAUAGUUUGAAUAAGUCUCUGAUGGUUGGAGUAUAUUUAGGAAUAGUUAGUUAGUUGUAGAUAGUGUGCAGAUAGUGGCCUACACUUUAGGUGUAGAUGCACAACUAAACAUGGGCAUCAACUCAUGGGACAUCUUGAUGGAACCACAAUUUCUCCAUCACCUACUAUUACCCAAAGUGAUCUUACUGUACCAAAUCCUAGUUAUCAGAUCUAGUUCUCUCAGGAUCAAUUGAUCCAACAAGCAAUGAUGGCAUCGGCCGAUCCUAUAAUUGCUCCAACGGUUGCAGAAGCACCAUCUGCUAACAAAGCGUGGGAACUCCUUCACACAGCCUACGCCAAUAAAAUACAUACUCGCAUCUUCAACUUAUGAGAUCAAUUGCAAAACACCAAGAAGACUUCCAAAACCAUUGCAGAAUACUUGCAGAAGGUUCGUUCCCUCUCCAAUGCUCUUAAAGUUGUUGGUUCACCUGUCAAUGAUGAUGAACUUGUUGUCAAAAUUUUAAGUGUCCUUGGCCCUGAGUAUCAUGAAAUCUCUGCGGAGAUACGAGCACUAGACUCUCCUUUGAGCUUUGAAGAAUUAUUUUACAAGCUCACAGAUCAUGAGCUCUUCCUAAAAUAUCAAGAUCUAGAAAAACCAUCUAUGAUCACAGCUGCUAUUGCUCAGAAGUCCCACACACCUCCGCAAUUCAACAGGAAUAAUCCUCGUUUCAAUAACCAGCCGUGGAAACCAUCUCAGUCUCGACAAUGGAAUUCCAACAAUCAGCAAUCAAAUUCCAAUAAUCUGCAAUCGAAUUCCAACAAUUAGCAAAGCAGGCGACAAACUAAGCAAUCUAUCAAAUGUCAAUUGUGCCACAGUUUUGGUCACACGGCAGAUGUUUGUCGCUUCAAGUCACACAAUCACUUUGAAGCUAAGGCUAACUUUGUAUUUAGGUAGCAAUCAUCCGGAAACUCUUGAGUUUUAGACUCUGGAGCAACUCACCAUGUCACUGCCAAACCUCAUAACCUUGAAGAGUAUACAGGAAUUGAAGAAAUCUCUAUGGGUGGCGAUAAAACCAUUCCCAUUAUUUAUACUGGUUCAACUCUAAUUCAGGCAUCUAAAUCUGCUUUUAAGCUUUCUAACACACUUUGUGCUUUAUUAAUAAAAAAAAAUCUCAUCUCUGUUGCUAAGUUUUGCCAAGAUAACCUCAUGUCUAUUGAAUUUUUUCCUUUUACUUUUGUUGUGAAGGACUUGCAUACUCUGAAGCCGUUGGUACAAGGCUGGAACAAAAAUGGACUGUAUGAGUGGCUAUGUUUGCCAUCCAGGAAACCCUCAAUUCACCUUGCCUCCAUAAAAGCCCCACUUCAACUUUGGCAUUGUCGAUUGAGUCAUCCCCACUCUAGAUUUUAAAUUUAUUUUGAGAAAAUUUUCCUUACCAGUUGUUGCUAGCAAAGAAACAUUUGAACUUUUGUAAUGCUUGUUCUUCUAAUAAAGUACAUCGUUUGCUAUUCCACCGACUCACUUUGUCCAGUAGUGUUCCUCUUCAGAUUAUCUUUAGUGAUUUAUGAGGACCAUCGCCCAUUUUAUCACUUGACAAAAAGUUGUAUUAUUGCAUUUUUGUUGAUCAGUAUAACAAAUAUACUUGGUUAUACACUUAAAAAUAAAAGUGAGGUUGCGUCAAUAUUUCCAACGUUUCAUCCUUUAGUAGAAAAUUUUUUCAAAACAAAAAUUUCCUCAAUCUAUAUAGGUGAAGGGGGUGAGUUCAUCGGUCUUCAGCCCUAUCUUAAAAAAUAUGAUAUUGAACACUUAAUUUCUCUUCCCUACACUCCACAACGUGUUGCCAUAGCUGAACGCCGAUAUCGCCAUAUUCUUGAAACUGCUAAAACCCUUCUUCAUGAAGCAUCUUUACCCUCUGAACUUUGGUCUUUUACAUGUCAAUAUGCAGUCUACCUUAUUAACCGACUUCCUACUCCCAUCCUUAAUAAUGAGUCACCCUACCAAAAAUUAUUUGGUCGAUCUCUUGACUAUCACACCCUAAAAUUUUUUGGUUGUCUUUGUUACCCAUGGUUUAAACCUUAUACCAAAAUAAACUUGAACCCCGGUCCACCCCAUGUGUGUAUUUAGGUAUCUCUCAGACUGACCAUGCUCACAUGUGCUUUGACCCUGUCCAGUCUAAAAUUUUCAUAAGUCGUGAUGUUUAAUACUUUGAAAAAGAAUUUCCUUUUAAACAAUUGUUCAUCCAUUUUAAAAAAUAUACUUCUCAAUUAAGUUGGGAAGUCAUUGAUUCCAAAGAGGACAGUCCAACAAUAAUUCAAACCACUCCUCUCUAUUCCAUCCCUUAUUCCACUCCAAGUAACACCUAUUUCCCUGGCAAUGCUCACUCCAACAACAAUGAUCAAGUACCAGCAGCUCUAGAGUUAUCAGACUGAAGAAGGCUAUCUAUGGCUUUCAACAAGCCCCACCGGCUUGGUAUAAUGCUCUGCGUGAACAUCUGCUGAAAAUGCACUUUGUCAAAACAGAAUCUGACACCUCUUUAUUUGUAUGGAAGCAUCUGGCUGUAACCAUUUAUGUGCUUGUCUAUGUUGACGACAUCAUAAUCACUGGAAACCAUCCACACAUGAUUAAAUUUGUCAUCAAUUCCUUGGCAGAAAGAUUUUCGUUGAAGGAUCUUGGCUAUUUAAACUACUUCUUGGGUGUUGAUGUGAAGCAAGUGCCGGAUGGUCUCAUUCUUUCUCAAUCAAAAUACAUUUUGGAAAUUCUUUCUGAACUAGAUAUGGACAAUUGUAAAGGUGUUUCCACUCUCAUGUGUUCCAGCGUACCCCUUUGGGUAGCUGAUGGUUCGCCACUAACUGAUGCCAUGCGUCACCGGGGUACCCUUGGCAAAUUGUAGUCUCUGUCUCUCACUCGGCCUGACAUAUUUCAUGCAGUAAAUAAAUUAUCACAAUUUAUGCAUACUCCUACUGAUGAACAUUAGAAAACAGUUAAAAGAGUACUACGAUAUCUAAAAGAAACUGCAAGUUCAGGACUUCGCAUUCUUCGCAGCUCUGACUCCAAUUUGUAUAUGUAUGCUGAUGCCGACUGGGCUGGCGAUCCAAAUAACAGAAUCUCUACAUCAGGUUACAUACUUUUCUUUGGACCAAAUCCAGUUAGUUGGUCGUCCAGAAAGCAACGUGUAGUGGCACGCUCGUCCACUGAGGCAGAGUACAAAUCAGUAGCCAAUGCACUUACAGAGAUCAGAUGGGUGCGAAACUUACUUCAUGAGUUACAUGUCACCAUUCCGAAGACGCCAACAAUCUACUGUGACAAAGUUGGAGUAACUUAUUUAUCUCACUACCCAGUGUUCCAUACUCGUAUGAAACAUGUUGCUGUAGAUUUCGCAUAUGUCCGUGAUCAGGUUCACGCUCAUCAAGUUCAUGUUACUCAUACUCAUGCUUCUGAUCAACUUGCUGAUACCUUCACCAAGUCACUGCCUAAAUCAAACCUUAUUAGAUGUCGUUCCAAGUUAGGUAUUGUUGCACCUUAUCCAACUUGAGGGGGUGCAUUAACUAUCUUUAUUUACCUUUUGUUACUACCUUUAUUUAACUCUUGUUAUUAGUUGUUAUAGUUUGAAUAAUUCUCUGAUGGUUGGAGUAUAUUUAGGAAUAGUUAGUUAGUUAUAGAUAGUGUGCAGAUAGUGACCUGCACUUUAGGUGUAGUUAGUUGUAUAUUCUGUAUUUUAAAGCUUGCUUCCAGAGUUAAUGUAUCAUCCUUUUGAUCUCCUUCUCUGAAUCUUUAUAGCUGUCUCUUAUUUGUAGCAAAAGAACAUAUGCCAAUAUUGACACUGCAGCCUGACAUAUUUGAAUAAAAAAAGCAACCUUUUUUGAAAAAGUUAAAGUACCUAAAUAGUAGCCUCAAUUGUUUAUCUUUUUUUAUUUUCAUUGUAGCAACCAACUUUGACUACCAAUAAAGUUGUCCACAAAAUAUUGUAAGAACAAGUGGAAUGGUGAUGGAGCCAACAAUGUCAAUAAAUAAUAAAUAUUGUAACUUUCACAAGUCUUAAAAUAGACUAUUAUAAUAAUAAUUUGACAUUAAUAAUAUUAUUAAAAUGCCACUAAUCCAUCAGAAAUUAAUUAAAGCACCCAACUAUCUUCUGGUCGGGUGCUUUUUUAAAUCUUAUAUCAGAUUUUAUAAAUUUUUAUAUAAUUAUACCUAAUCUGCAUCGCCUUGCCUUCCGGUUGUGAUGGUGCUGGUAGUGUUGUGGUUGCUAGUGGUGGUGGCGGUGCAGCAGUGGCGAUGGAGAAAGAGGAGGUAUAAAAGGUUGAAGAGAAAGAAGAGCCUGAAGAUGAAGACUUUAAUUUGGAUCUCUUUGCUUAGAUCAACAAUUUAAGUUUUAUGCACUGCGCAUGCAAUUAUUACUUUUAUGUUUUACUAUCGAAUUGGAUUUGGAGUUGAUGUUUGUUUACUCUUUUGGAUUAAAAGUCUAUAUUUUAGUUUAGUUUUCUUUUAUAUAAUGCUUAGUAAUAUUUGUAGUAUUUGGUUUAUGUUAAGUUUAUAUUAUGUUCAUCAUGCAUGGCCUUCUACAAAGAGAUUCAUUUUUACACGUAAUAUAUUUUUUUUGGACAGGUUACACAGUUUGUGUUUAAUAGGGAUGCAUUUAUUAAAUUUAUAAGCGUCUCAAAAUAGUAAGGUUGUCCAUCUUAUAAGAAAGUAAGGUUGUCCAUCUUAUAAGAAAAUUUUUCAUUUGUACACCUAAAAGAUAAGAAAAGAUGGUAUCAUGCACCACUAUGGGUUGUGGUGCAGUGGUGAAGCUGCUUCACCCUUAACCAGAGGUCUCGCAUCUGAGCCUUGAAUAUGGAGAAAAUUCUUUUUGGAGCGUUGCCCCCUUAAUGGGCUCUGCAACACGCAAUCCGAAUUAGUUGGAGCUCCAAUGCAGACACCAAACACCGAAUGAAAAAAAAAACAAAAACAAAGUAUCCUACAAAUAAAAUUGGAAGUGAGUUGAACUAAUUUGGAGUCAAAAUUCAAAGCUACAUUGUAUAUCACUACUAUAUACAUCACACAGAUAUGGAAAACAUACACUGAUAUACAUCUCUUCUUCCGUACAAAGUCCACCCAGAAACGCUAUUUGAGUCAACAUUCAUCCUCGUCCACAUGCUUCAUUUUUGUAUAGUAAAGAGGUUCAUAAACUGCUAGUGCAAGUGCAAAGUAUCAGCUGUGGCAGAGAGUUCAGGGAAACAAAAGCAAAUCGCUCGCCCUUUGAGCCUCACUCAAGCGUAGAGUCUUGCAGAAGAUCGUGGACAUCACAACUUUUGACUCAACUAGUGGAUCGGAGCUACUCUCUUUAACAAUAAUAACACUUCGAUUCACAUGAAUCAAAUGAAUCCCAAAGUGCUUACUCAAAUAGUGAAUAUGGUGCGGAUUUUGUAAGGGAGAAGAGAUGUAUAUCAGUGUAUAUUCUUCACACACACACAUAUAUAUAUAUAUAAUUCGGUAUUCGAUAAA